GACGAACGCUGGCGGCGUGCCUAAUACAUGCAAGUAGAACGCACAGUUUAUACCGUAGCUUGCUACACCAUAAACUGUGAGUUGCGAACGGGUGAGUAACGCGUAGGUAACCUGCCUGGUAGCGGGGGAUAACUAUUGGAAACGAUAGCUAAUACCGCAUAAUAUUAAUUAUUGCAUGAUAAUUGAUUGAAAGAUGCAAUUGCAUCACUACCAGAUGGACCUGCGUUGUAUUAGCUAGUAGGUGAGGUAACGGCUCACCUAGGCGACGAUACAUAGCCGACCUGAGAGGGUGAUCGGCCACACUGGGACUGAGACACGGCCCAGACUCCUACGGGAGGCAGCAGUAGGGAAUCUUCGGCAAUGGACGAAAGUCUGACCGAGCAACGCCGCGGGAGUGAAGAAGGUUUUCGGAUCGUAAAGCUCUGUUGUAAGAGAAGAACGGGUGUGAGAGUGGAAAGUUCACACUGUGACGGUAACUUACCAGAAAGGGACGGCUAACUACGUG
This 505-nucleotide ribosomal RNA is filed under the name uncultured bacterium. RNAcentral's name for it is "partial 16S ribosomal RNA". It matches the Rfam family "Bacterial small subunit ribosomal RNA", at positions 28 to 507 of the family's 1533-position model. The record is from RNAcentral.